GAGGAUUGUUUUUAACCAACUUCCAAAAAAGGAGGAGGUUUAAUAUAUUGACGUGAUAACGUCUUAUAAUUCGCGCGCCUGAAAAACAUGACAGUUCAUGCGGCGUUACCUCGCUGACAGCUCUAAAGGCGUUCCAUUUAAGGCUUGAAUUGUCACGUUCAACUAUCGUCAGUAAACCGACUUUACAGACAACCGAUUUUUUUU
This is a long non-coding RNA of Aricia agestis (brown argus), 204 nucleotides long. RefSeq lists it as uncharacterized. The record is from RefSeq and is a predicted model, not a curated record. NCBI's taxonomy places the organism in Eukaryota, Metazoa, Arthropoda, Insecta, Lepidoptera, Lycaenidae. The transcript has 2 exons.